GAUGAACGCUAGCGGCAGGCCUAACACAUGCAAGUCGAGGGGCAGCACGUCUUCGGAUGGUGGCGACCGGCGCACGGGUGCGUAACGCGUAUGCAACCUACCUCUUACAGUGGGAUAGCCCAGAGAAAUUUGGAUUAAUACCGCAUAGUAUACAGAUUUCAGCAUUGGGACUGUAUUAAACAUUUAUGGGUAAGAGAUGGGCAUGCGUUCUAUUAGUUAGUUGGAGUGGUAACGGCACCCCAAGACAGCGAUAGAUAGGGCCCGUGAGAGGGGAGUCCCCCACACUGGCACUGAGACACGGACCAGACUCCUACGGGAGGCAGCAGUGAGGAAUAUUGGACAAU
Molecule: ribosomal RNA, 344 nt
Filed under: uncultured bacterium
Lineage: Bacteria
Description: bacterial SSU rRNA
Rfam family: Bacterial small subunit ribosomal RNA
Source: RNAcentral